CCCCUCUCGGGGUCUCACCUGGAGAGCUUCCAGUCCUCUACCAGUCUAGACUAUGGGAGGGAGAGUCAAGCAGAGGCCUGUCCAUUCCAUUCCUAGCUUGGGCAGUGGCUAGCGAGUGAAAGGCCAUCCGCUACAAGU
Molecule: small nucleolar RNA, 138 nt
Filed under: Ornithorhynchus anatinus (platypus)
Lineage: Eukaryota; Metazoa; Chordata; Mammalia; Monotremata; Ornithorhynchidae
Source: RNAcentral